AUUAGAAGGGUUUUGAUCAUGGCUCAGGACGAACGUUGGCGGUGCGCUUAAUGCAUGCAAGUCGAGGGAGAACCAUUCGUUCCGUAAGGUCCGGAUGGGGAAACCGGCGAACGGGUGCGUAACACGUGAGGAACCUGCCCCGAAGAUCGGGAUAGCCCGGGGAAACCCGGAUUAAUACCGAAUACCCUCUCCGGACCGCAUGGUCUGUUGAGGAAAUGGUCAGCCGCUUCGGGAUGGCCUCGCGGCCUAUCAGCUAGUUGGUGAGGUAACGGCUCACAAAGGCAAAGACGGGUAGCUGGUCUGAGAGGACGAUCAGCCACACUGGGACUGAGACACGGCCCAGACCCCUACGGGAGGCAGCAGCAGGGAAUAUUGCACAAUGGGCGAAAGCCUGAUGCAGCGACACCGCGUGUGGGAUGAAGGCCUUCGGGUUGUAAACCGCUUUCAGGAGGGACGAAAAUGACGGUACCUCCAGAAGAAGGCCCGGCCAACUACGUGCCAGCAGCCGCGGUAACACGUAGGGGCCAAACGUUGUCCGGAUUUAUUGGGCGUAAAGGGCUCGUAGGCGGUUCAACAAGUCGGUCGUGAAAUGCCGGGGCUCAACCCCGGAACGCCGGUCGAAACUGUUGUGACUAGGGUCCGGUAGAGGUGAGUGGAAUUCUCGGUGUAGCGGUGGAAUGCGCAGAUAUCGAGACGAACACCAGUUGCGAAGGCGGCUCACUGGGCCGGUACCGACGCUGAGGAGCGAAAGCAUGGGGAGCAAACAGGAUUAGAUACCCUGGUAGUCCAUGCCGUAAACUGUGGACACUAGAUUGAUGUCUGCCGUACCGUAGGUGUUCCU
RNAcentral lists this ribosomal RNA (841 nucleotides) under uncultured Actinomycetes bacterium. RNAcentral describes it as "bacterial SSU rRNA". It matches the Rfam family "Bacterial small subunit ribosomal RNA", at positions 1 to 859 of the family's 1533-position model. The record is from RNAcentral. Lineage: Bacteria; Bacillati; Actinomycetota; Actinomycetes.